RNAcentral lists this ribosomal RNA (406 nucleotides) under uncultured bacterium. Its description in RNAcentral is "partial 16S ribosomal RNA". It matches the Rfam family "Bacterial small subunit ribosomal RNA", at positions 30 to 526 of the family's 1533-position model. The record is from RNAcentral.
CUUGAACGCUGGCGGCAGGCUUAACACAUGCAAGUCGAACGAGUGGCGGACGGGUGAGUAAUGCUUGGGAAUCUGGCUUAUGGAGGGGGAUAACGACGGGAAACUGUCGCUAAUACCGCAUACCAUCGGAUGUGCCCAGAUGGGAUUAGCUAGUAGGUGGGGUAACGGCUCACCUAGGCGACGAUCCCUAGCUGGUCUGAGAGGAUGACCAGCCACACUGGAACUGAGACACGGUCCAGACUCCUACGGUAGGCAGAAGUGGGGAAUAUUGCACAAUGGGCGCAAGCCUGAUGCAGCCAUGCCGCGUGUAUGAAGAAGGCCUUCGGGUUGUAAAGUACUUUCAGCGAGGAGGCGUUACUCGCAGAAGAAGCACCGGCUAACUCCGUGCCAGCAGCCGCGGUAAUAC